This 77-nucleotide transfer RNA is filed under the name Candidatus Shapirobacteria bacterium CG07_land_8_20_14_0_80_39_18. RNAcentral's name for it is "tRNA-Val". It matches the Rfam family "tRNA". From Rfam's summary of the family: Transfer RNA (tRNA) molecules are approximately 80 nucleotides in length. The record is from RNAcentral. Lineage: Bacteria; Candidatus Shapironibacteriota.
GACCGCCUAGCUCAGUUGGUUAGAGCGACCGGUUUACAUCCGGUAGGUCAGGGGUUCGAAACCCUUGGCGGUCACUA